GUAUUCGCUUCAGCAGCACACAUACUAAAAUUGGAAUGAUAUGGAGAUUAGUACGGUCCCUGCGCAAGGAUAACAUGCAAAUUAGUGAAGUGCUCCAUAUUAAA
Diceros bicornis minor is the source of this 104-nucleotide small nuclear RNA. The record is from RefSeq and is a predicted model, not a curated record. Lineage: Eukaryota; Metazoa; Chordata; Mammalia; Perissodactyla; Rhinocerotidae.